Molecule: long non-coding RNA, 850 nt
Organism: Cyprinus carpio carpio
Lineage: Eukaryota; Metazoa; Chordata; Actinopteri; Cypriniformes; Cyprinidae
Source: Ensembl
UUGCGUUCAUUAAGCAAGUGUCAAGUGUUAGAAAUGUCUGCUUUGGAACUAUAUUAAGACAAACAUGGGAAACACUUGCUUUAUUUUUGUUAUAUUUGUUAUAUUUUUGUCCUAACUUUUAUCCUGCUUUUUUUGUAGCUCAACAGCCACUGGGCAACUGUUUGCAGUGUGAAUAUUGUUGAAAAUAUCUUCAUUUGUGCUCCAUGGAUGAAAUGGAAAGCUAAGCUAAGCCGACAAGUUUGACACAUGGCUGACUCUCCAUAGUAAUCCACUGGACGUCCGUUUUAACAUGAUGGGGCAGUCGUGUAUGGGUUUACUGGGACUUAUUGAUUUUAAACAUGCCCCAUUUAAGAUGGACUGCCAAUACAAACCAAACACUCCAGCCAAGAAAGGAGUGCUGUUUAACAUUCAGCCCACGAGUGCAUGUAUAAUUAACUCCUGGGUAAAAAUGCCCUCAGGAGAGUAGCUGUGGAGUCUCGACACAAGGCUUCACUCAUCUCAGAGUGUGUGUGUGCGUCCGUGCGAAUGUAUGGAGACUUUACAGAAUACCACGCUAGUGUAAGUGAAUUAACGUAAAUGAAUUAGCCAAUUAAACGCAAUAACAUGGCCCAACAGGGAGUUUCAUAUUGCAGACCAGCAGCAUUAGACAACCUUAUGAAAAUGAGCAAACCACAUUUCCCCUGCAGUUAGGAUCAUUAAAUCCAAGAUUGUAAAAUCUGUUUUGCAUGACUUUCGUCAAGCUAUUGCACCAAAUUGUACAUUUUCAAACUUUUUUUCCUCAUAAUUGUGGCUUUAAAUCUUACAAUUUUGUCUGUGUCUCAAAGUUUAUAUGUCCCAAUAUGUCUAAUUG